This 429-nucleotide ribosomal RNA is filed under the name Acidobacteriota bacterium. RNAcentral describes it as "Acidobacteria bacterium partial 16S ribosomal RNA". It matches the Rfam family "Bacterial small subunit ribosomal RNA", at positions 355 to 776 of the family's 1533-position model. The record is from RNAcentral. Lineage: Bacteria; Pseudomonadati; Acidobacteriota.
UGGGGAAUUUUGGACAAUGGGGGAAACCCUGAUCCAGCCAUCCCGCGUGUGCGAUGAAGGCCUUCGGGUUGUAAAGCACUUUUGGCAGGAAAGAAACGUCAUGGGUUAAUACCCCCUGAAACUGACGGUACCUGCAGAAUAAGCACCGGCUAACUACGUGCCAGCAGCCGCGGUAAUACGUAGGGUGCAAGCGUUAAUCGGAAUUACUGGGCGUAAAGCGUGCGCAGGCGGUUCGGAAAGAAAGAUGUGAAAUCCCAGAGCUCAACUUUGGAACUGCAUUUUUAACUACCGGGCUAGAGUGUGUCAGAGGGAGGUGGAAUUCCGCGUGUAGCAGUGAAAUGCGUAGAUAUGCGGAGGAACACCGAUGGCGAAGGCAGCCUCCUGGGAUAACACUGACGCUCAUGCACGAAAGCGUGGGGAGCAAACAGG